RNAcentral lists this transfer RNA (85 nucleotides) under Felis catus (domestic cat). It matches the Rfam family "tRNA". From Rfam's summary of the family: Transfer RNA (tRNA) molecules are approximately 80 nucleotides in length. Their secondary structure includes four short double-helical elements and three loops (D, anti-codon, and T loops). The record is from Rfam by way of RNAcentral. Lineage: Eukaryota; Metazoa; Chordata; Mammalia; Carnivora; Felidae.
GCCCGGGUGGUUUAGUUGGUUAAAGGUCCGACUUUGGAUCAGGUCACGAUCUUAUGGUUCGUGGGUUCAAGCCCCACGUCGGGCU